RNAcentral lists this ribosomal RNA (253 nucleotides) under uncultured bacterium. Its description in RNAcentral is "partial 16S ribosomal RNA". It matches the Rfam family "Bacterial small subunit ribosomal RNA", at positions 524 to 776 of the family's 1533-position model. The record is from RNAcentral.
UACAGAGGGUGCAAGCGUUAAUCGGAAUUACUGGGCGUAAAGCGUGCGUAGACGGUUAUGUAAGUCGGGUGUGAAAGCCCCGGGCUCAACCUUGGAACUGCCUUUGAUACUGGAGACCUUGAGUCCGGGAGAGGUGAGUGGAAUUGCGAGUGUAGAGGUGAAAUUCGUAGAUAUUCGCAAGAACACCAGUGGCGAAGGCGGCUCACUGGCCCGGAACUGACGCUGAGAUGCGAAAGCGUGGGGAGCAAACAGG